GAAAAUCCGUUGACUUAAA
RNAcentral lists this transfer RNA (19 nucleotides) under Grammosciadium macrodon. Its description in RNAcentral is "partial tRNA-Leu". Lineage: Eukaryota; Viridiplantae; Streptophyta; Magnoliopsida; Apiales; Apiaceae. The record is from RNAcentral.